UACGCCAUGUGAGUCACUUCACGAUAGAAAAAAAAUAGAGGUUAUGUUUCCCCACAUGUACAUUCGCCAUUUUCCCCCGAAGAGCGCAGGCGCGCUCAAAGUUUCCAGCACGUGAUGCACUUGACGUUUUGUUUCGGUACACGAACCCCACAAAUCUGAGCUCAAAGGGCCCAAAUUUAACAAAAACAACAAGAAAUUUGGUUAAUUUGAUUCAGCGGUUGAGUGGUGAAGGGAGAUGUUAAUUUUUGGAAAUGGAAUUCGCUUGGAGUGGACGGGGUUGGGGAAAAAUGUGGCAAAAGAACUCCUUUAGAACUAGGAGAUAAUGACGAACUGCACUGCUGUUCUUGGAACUGGGGGUAGAUCCAAUUUUUCAACUGAAGACACUUCUGCUGGCUCUUCACGGCUUUCUCUCGAUGCAUUUUUCUCCAAAUUACCUUCGACGUGAGAUUCAACCUUUGAUUCACAUUUCUUGGAGUCCAUGGACAGCUUAGAGAGGUCCGAGGUUACUAUAGGCACUGAUCUCAACGGUUUCUGGAAUAAAAAAAUGCAACAUUUAAAAUAUUUCAGUCAAGGAAAAAGCUUUUCGAUUUUAAUUAACACGAAUUAAUGUAAACAACACGAUUAAAUCUGGAAUUGGAAUUAUUUCAAUGUCUUGAAAGUUCAAAAAAGGAAAAAUCUAUUGCAUUGCAUUCAAUUUUUAGAUAAAAAGCUAAUCAAUUUCCAAAAAAAUGCAUUCAUACAUUUGUCUGUUGACGUUUGAUAAAAAAUUACUCAAUAACAUAUCAAAGAUAUGAAAGAACUUAUAAUUGACGAUUCGACUCCUUAAUCUGUUCAGGAUUACAAAAAUUACAUUUGACAUGUCAAUUAUUAAAUAAAAUAAAAUCGUACAACUCA
Long non-coding RNA from Diachasma alloeum, 894 nucleotides. RefSeq lists it as uncharacterized. Lineage: Eukaryota; Metazoa; Arthropoda; Insecta; Hymenoptera; Braconidae. The record is from RefSeq and is a predicted model, not a curated record. The transcript is spliced from 2 exons.